RNAcentral lists this ribosomal RNA (355 nucleotides) under Calanopia minor. Its description in RNAcentral is "partial 28S ribosomal RNA". The record is from RNAcentral. Lineage: Eukaryota; Metazoa; Arthropoda; Copepoda; Calanoida; Pontellidae.
AGUUCAAGAGUACGUGAAACUGUGUGGCAGUAAACGGAGCCUUCCUCGAAGUCAACCGAUCGGACCCAUCCUAACGGCACGGCGCAGCCCUCGCUCUGGGAUCAGCGAUGACCUUUUGCGGGGAGCCUUGCGUCGCUCGGCGGGUGCAUCUCUGAUCGGUGUCACGGUAGGAACUGUUGGCGUCCGGACCUAAGGCUCGGGACGAAGCUUUCCCCUCGGGGUCAGCUCCCGGUGUCCUGGCUCUGGACCCGACAGGCAGCCACGGCGCGCCUCGUACAGCGAGCAACGCUUCUGUUGCGGGCGCCCSUUCCCUACCGAGUAGGUCGGGUAGGCUCUGACCCGUCUUGAAACACGG